UCCUCAUGGCCCUUAUGUCCAGGGCUACACACGUGCUACAAUGGCCGGUACAAAGGGCAGCAAAGCCGCGAGGUGGAGCCAAUCCCAGAAAGCCGGUCUCAAGUUCGGAUUGGAGUCUGCAACUCGACUCCAUGAAGUUGGAAUCGCUAGUAAUCGCGGAUCAGCAUGCCGCGGUGAAUACGUUCCCGGGCCUU
RNAcentral lists this ribosomal RNA (194 nucleotides) under uncultured Desulfuromonas sp. Its description in RNAcentral is "partial 16S ribosomal RNA". It matches the Rfam family "Bacterial small subunit ribosomal RNA", at positions 1190 to 1382 of the family's 1533-position model. Lineage: Bacteria; Pseudomonadati; Thermodesulfobacteriota; Desulfuromonadia; Desulfuromonadales; Desulfuromonadaceae. The record is from RNAcentral.